GGCGGCUUACCACAUGCAAGUCGAGCGGUAGAGAGAAGCUUGCUUCUCUUGAGAGCGGCGGACGGGUGAGUUAAUGCCUAGGAAUCUGCCUGGUAGUGGGGGAUAACGUUCGGAAACGGACGCUAAUACCGCAUACGUCCUACGGGAGAAAGCAGGGGACCUUCGGGCCUUGCGCUAUCAGAUGAGCCUAGGUCGGAUUAGCUAGUUGGUGGGGUAAUGGCUCACCAAGGCGACGAUCCGUAACUGGUCUGAGAGGAUGAUCAGUCACACUGGAACUGAGACACGGUCCAGACUCCUACGGGAGGCAGCAGUGGGGAAUAUUGGACAAUGGGCGAAAGCCUGAUCCAGCCAUGCCGCGUGUGUGAAGAAGGUCUUCGGAUUGUAAAGCACUUUAAGUUGGGAGGAAGGGCCGUUACCUAAUACGUGAUGGUUUUGACGUUACCGACAGAAUAAGCACCGGCUAACUCUGUGCCAGCAGCCGCGGUAAUACAGAGGGUGCAAGCGUUAAUCGGAAUUACUGGGCGUAAAGCGCGCGUAGGUGGUUUGUUAAGUUGGAUGUGAAAUCCCCGGGCUCAACCUGGGAACUGCAUUCAAAACUGACUGACUAGAGUAUGGUAGAGGGUGGUGGAAUUUCCUGUGUAGCGGUGAAAUGCGUAGAUAUAGGAAGGAACACCAGUGGCGAAGGCGACCACCUGGACUGAUACUGACACUGAGGUGCGAAAGCGUGGGGAGCAAACAGGAUUAGAUACCCUGGUAGUCCACGCCGUAAACGAUGUCAACUAGCCGUUGGGAGCCUUGAGCUCUUAGUGGCGCAGCUAACGCAUUAAGUUGACCGCCUGGGGAGUACGGCCGCAGGUUAAAACUCAAAUGAAUUGACGGGGCCCGACAAGCGUGGAGCAUGUGUUUAAUUCGAAGCACCCGAAGAACUUACCAGGCUUGACUCCAAGAACUUUCU
This 955-nucleotide ribosomal RNA is filed under the name Pseudomonas arenae. Its description in RNAcentral is "bacterial SSU rRNA". It matches the Rfam family "Bacterial small subunit ribosomal RNA", at positions 41 to 999 of the family's 1533-position model. Lineage: Bacteria; Pseudomonadati; Pseudomonadota; Gammaproteobacteria; Pseudomonadales; Pseudomonadaceae. The record is from RNAcentral.